RNAcentral lists this ribosomal RNA (460 nucleotides) under uncultured bacterium. Its description in RNAcentral is "partial 16S ribosomal RNA". It matches the Rfam family "Bacterial small subunit ribosomal RNA", at positions 338 to 795 of the family's 1533-position model. The record is from RNAcentral.
CCUACGGGUGGCAGCAGUGAGGAAUAUUGGUCAAUGGACGCAAGUCUGAACCAGCCAUGCCGCGUGCAGGAAGACGGCUCUAUGAGUUGUAAACUGCUUUUGUACGAGGGUAAACGCAGAUACGCGUAUCUGUCUGAAAGUAUCGUACGAAUAAGGAUCGGCUAACUCCGUGCCAGCAGCCGCGGUAAUACGGAGGAUUCAAGCGUUAUCCGGAUUUAUUGGGUUUAAAGGGUGCGUAGGCGGUCUGAUAAGUUAGAGGUGAAAUCCCGAGGCUCAACUUCGGAAUUGCAUUUGAUACUGUUCUGCUAGAGAGUAGUGGCGGUAGGCGGAAUGUAUGGUGUAGCGGGGAAAUGCUUAGAGAUCAUGCAGAACACCGAUUGCGAAGGCAGCUCACCAAGCUACUUCUGACGUUGAGGCACGAAAGCGUGGGGAGCAAACAGGAUUAGAUACCCCAGUAGUC